Molecule: RNA transcript, 4461 nt
Organism: Python bivittatus (Burmese python)
Lineage: Eukaryota; Metazoa; Chordata; Lepidosauria; Squamata; Pythonidae
Source: RefSeq, a predicted model, not a curated record
ACGCCGGACCUAGGCAUUUUCAGAGGAGCGACGUCACUGGAAAGCUUGCCUCGCUAGGACUUUGCACCCCUCGCUUGGGCCCGUAGGCUGGACCUCGCAGGCGGCCGCAGGAAAGUCUCGCAGGGAGCGGGGUCUGUCUGACUCAGAUGUAGAAGUUGCAAGAACCUUGUUUCCUUGUUUGUGGACAAAAAUAACUCAUACGCAAGGAGGGCUGAAUGGCCUGGUGAGAUUCAUCCAGGGGUUCUUCAUGCAAUUCAGGUCCUAUGGAGAUCCAUUGGCCCCAUUUCAGAUUCUCAGUCUUGACAGCUGUUGGCCUCAUUUGCUGCUGGAUUAGAGAAUAGAGAGAAAAUGGAGGGACAAUGCCCAGCAGGUGCAGAAGCUGGAAAAAGCCCUCCUGCUCCUCAGCCUGGGAGCUGUGGGGAAAUCUGGACAAAAACUGGGCAGAAGAUCCUAGUGGAAGAAUCUAUCAGUUCAGAGGUCCAGCGCAGGCACUUCAGGAAUGCCCGCUAUCAGGAGGCCAAGGGGCCCCGAGAGAUUUGCAGCCACCUCCACCACCUUUGCCAUCAGUGGCUGAAGCCAGAAAGAUAUACAAAGGCACAGAUGCUGGAUUUGGUGGUUCUGGAGCAGUUCUUAGCUGUCCUGCCACUGGAGAUGGAGAGCUGGGUGCGGGAGUGUGGAGCAGAGACCAGUUCCCAGGCAGUGGCCCUCGUGGAAGGCUUUCUCCUGAGCCAGGCGGAGGAGGAGAAGGAGCAGGAAGAGCUCCAGGUCCAGAGGUCGCUCUUGGAGGCCAUUACCAAACAUCUGGAUGGAAGGAGCAAUCCCUCAAAUCUCUCCCAGGAGCUGCUUUUUUGGAGGAUCUCCCAGGAAAGUCAAAGUUUGGACAGCUUACCAGAGAAUAGCACGAUGUCCUUGGUAUUCAUAGGAUUGUCUCCCUUUUGUGGUGAACCCAAAAGAGCAACUGAGCCUCCUGUUCAGGGUCUUGUGACCUUUGAGGAUGUGGCUGUAUAUUUCUCAGAGGAGGAAUGGUCUCAGCUGGAUCCUGACCAAAAAGCCCUCCAUGGAGAAGUCAUGCUGGAGAACUCCAGGAAUGUGGCUUCUCUGGGAAGUAAUGGGCAACAGAAUGAGAACUACAGGGUACCAUUUCAAACGCCCGUCGAGCAUAAAGAAGGAAAAGAGACAUUUGCCAGUGAAGCGAAAACAAAGAAUCAUGAGAGAAACCUGUCAAAUAAUGAGAAUUCAAAAAUCUCAGCUUCCUACUAUGCUGGCAUUCAAGACUUUCUAGCCCAAAAAGAACAUAAAGGAAAAAAGAGGAAAAGGAGUUUAGGGAAAAGUGUGAAAAUAUUGAACUUAAAUUUCAAUAAACAUUAUGGAAGCCAUGCCAAACAGGAUAAAUGCAUGGAAGAUGAAGAAGGUUACCAUCAAAGUUUCAUUCUUUCUUUACACAACAGAGUCAAGAUGGGAGAGAAACCAUAUAUAUGCCUGGUGUGUGGAAAGAGCUUCAGUCAGAGUAGCGCUUUAAUUUCCCAUAAAAGAAUCCACAGAGGGGAGAAACUUCAUAAGUGCAUGGAGUGUGGGAAGAAGUUCAGGUGGAAAAGUGACCUUAUUUCUCAUAAAAGGGUCCACACAGGGGAGAAACCCUAUAAAUGCAUGGAGUGUGGGAAGAAGUUCAGGUGGAAAAGUGACCUUAUUUCUCAUAAAAGGGUCCACACAGGGGAGAAACCCUAUAAAUGCAUGGAGUGUGGGAAGAAGUUCAGGUGGAAAAGUGACCUUAUUUCUCAUAAAAGGGUCCACACAGGGGAGAAACCCUAUAAAUGCAUGGAGUGUGGGAAGAGUUUUAGUCAAAGCAGUAACCUGAUUUCCCAUAAAAGGAGCCAUUCUGGAGAAAAACCUUACAAAUGCACGGAAUGUGGAAAGUGCUUCAGGUGGAGUAGUCAGUUUACUUCCCAUAAAAGAAUCCAUACUGGAGAGAAACCAUAUAAAUGUGUGGAAUGUGGAAAAAGCUUUACCAAUAGCAGUUCCCUCAGUUCUCAUAGAAGUAUCCACACAGGGGAGAAACCCUAUCAAUGCUUGGAGUGCGGGAAGAACUUCAGCAUGAGCAGUCACCUCACCUCCCAUAAAAGGAUUCACACAGGGGAGAAGCCAUACAAGUGCUUGGAGUGUGGAAAGAGCUUCCGGGAAAAUGGGUCCCUAAGUAGUCAUAAAAUGAUCCAUACAGGAGAGAAGCCAUAUAAAUGUAGGGAAUGUGGGAAAAAAUUCCGAAAAAUAAGUUCCCUUACCUCUCAUACAAGGAUUCACACAGGGGAGAAACCAUAUAAAUGCAUGGAAUGUGGGAAAAUAUUCCAAAAAAGUACUUCCCUCACAUCCCAUAAAAGAAUCCACACAGGGGAGAAACCAUAUGAAUGCAUGGAGUGUGGAAAGAGCUUUCGUGAAAAUGGGUCCCUUACUUCCCAUAAAAGGAUCCACUCUGGUGAGAAACCGUAUAAAUGUAUGGAGUGUGGAAAGAGCUUCAUUCGGAGCAGUUCUCUUACGUCUCAUAAAAGGAUCCACACCGGGGAGAAACCGUACACAUGUACAGAAUGUGGAAAGAGCUUUCGUGAAAAUGGGACACUUACUUCUCACAAAAGGAUCCACCGAGGGGAGAAACCAUACAAAUGCACGGAGUGUGGAAAGAGCUUCAGGUGGAGCAGUCAGCUUACUUCCCAUAAGAGGAUCCAUUCUGGUCUUGUACCAUAUAGAUGCUUGGAAUGUGGAAAAAGCUUUAGCCAGGGGAGUCAUCUGACUUCCCAUAAAACCAUCCAUACGGGGGAGAAGCCAUAUAAAUGUUUGGAAUGUGGGAAAAUAUUCCGAAUCAGCAGUUCCCUAACUUCUCAUAAAAGGAUCCACACAGGGGAGAAACCGUAUACAUGUUUGGUAUGUGGAAAGAGCUUCCGUGAAAAUGGGUCUCUUACUAUUCAUAAAAGGAUCCACACAGGGGAGAAACCAUAUCAAUGCAAAGAGUGUGGGAAGAGCUUCAGAAGGAGCAGUAACCUUACUACUCAUGCAAAGACCCACUCAGAUGGCCCAACUCUGGAAAAACAAAUCAAAAUGAUAAAGAAAACAGUAACAAUAAUUCAGUGAUCACAGAUCAGUUCCAAGCUCUCCAUUCUCCUGGAUGUACUAGAUGCUGUCUUUGGGAAGGGAUGCAUCCAGACGGGCGUUUAACAGUACGGGGUCUACAGGAAAAUGAAAAUGAUAGGAUUCCAGCAUGCUGAUACCACCAACCGUAAUGCAAAAAUUGAAAGAGACAUUUGGAAAUCAGUAGGGACCAGAAUAAAAUAAAAUCCAUUUAGGAAAGCCACUCCAAAAAAUGGGGGAGACGGCCUCCAUUUCUGAAUGUGCUGUAGUCCAGUGGUUCCUCCUGAGAAAACAGGAUCACAAAGGAAUGAGAAGGAGAACAGGCUCUCAUAUGGGAAGAGAGUUGAAUCAGACUGGCGUCAGCCGUGUGACAUCAAGACACCAAUUUUUCUUUUAAGGAAAGAGAGAAAAAGAAAAAAGAAGGCAUUCUUUUAACAAAACAAGAAACCUUGAUCACACAGCAUAAUAUUGCUCAGUCUUCAGUUCCAUCAAUAAAGAACCAAUUCACGAGCAGAGAGAGAAUAUACGUCAUUACCCCAGGACUGUAAAUAUGGUGCAUUUCUGCCUUUCUACUAUAAAAGUGGAUUUUUUUUGCUAUUCUACAGUUCUUCAUGUAUUGAUAAAUUCUACAUUUGAGGUAAUGAUUCAAAAUCCCAUUCACAGCUGUACGUCACAUCACUCCUGUAAGUAAUUUCUAUUAAGAUAAUAAGAAACAUUGUUAAUGCUUUUGAAGACCCUUGAGCACCGAUUGGUUAAUAAACACCUACUGUUUAUUCUAAAGCAGUGUUUUUCAAACUUGGCAACUUUAAGAUGUGUUGACUUCAACUCCCAGAAUUCCCCAGCCAAGUUUGAAAAAUACUAUGCUAGAGGUUUUGCAGAUAGCUGGUAUCCAGCUUAUCACUACACUUUCAUUAUCUAUUAAAAAAUAAUAUAUAAUUCGAAACACAUUCCAGCGUUAUUGUAAUGUACAGGUUUUAGUGCUGCUUAUGUAUUUCGAGCACUUUGUGAGAUCACAAGAUGUUUUAAUUCAGUGUUUCUCAAUCUUAGCAACUUUAAGAUGCGUGGACUUCAACUCAAGCUGGCUGGGGAAUUCUGGGAGUUGAAGUCCACAUGUCUUAAAGUUGUUGAGGUUGAGAAAGACUGUUUUAACUGAACAUUCUUCUAUUCCAUAAUUUUAGAAAAGCCAAAUUCUUAUUGCUGCAACUCAAAUGAUUUAAAAAUUGGCAACCACCUGAUCUAAAGUAUUAAUGUCUCUGUUAGCCCAUUAAUUCAAAAAGAAAAAAAAGAUGUUCUACUUUUUUUCAAAGUGGAAUUUUUCCCAAAGUGUACAUUUAUAAUGUGAAUAAA